Molecule: long non-coding RNA, 634 nt
Filed under: Androctonus crassicauda
Lineage: Eukaryota; Metazoa; Arthropoda; Arachnida; Scorpiones; Buthidae
Source: RNAcentral
GUUAAUUAAAAAAUUAUUUACACAUACUAUAAAAAAUAAAUUUUUAUUGCAUUCAAGUUUGUUUAAAUCAUGUCAUUGAAUUUCAUCAUCGCAGAAUUGUCAUCAUUUGUGAAUGGUUAUCCAAAGGUUGAAUUGAUUUCAAUGAACAGGUCAUUAUUUCUCCUAGAAAAUCUGGAAAUAUGGGAUGUGAUGUUGGAUUUAUUCUUUCAGCUGUUUUGCAAAUGCUUUAUCAUAAUGUCAUCCAAUUCCUUUAUUACAUUAAAGGAAAAAUCAGUACAGCAUUAGCAACAUCAUGUGGUGGCAUGUGGCCCACAAGGCAUUGCUGGUACUAUGCUUAAUUUGAUGCUGUUUAUAUCUGGUGUAUCAUGGUACAUCACGUUGGGUUUUCAAGAAAAAAAUUUAUAUGGUUGCAUAUAUGAUGAUCCAAUUUUUUUCUUGAGAACUCCCUGAUAUAGUGCAUGAACAUAUAUAAAUUUUUAUUUGUGUUGAAUGAUUUGUGUUAAGGCACAAUAAUAUAUAUUGAUUUGUAUUAACUCAAAACAAAUUUAAAUUUAAUACAAGUUAUUAAUUUACAGGAUCAAAACACUCCUGUUUCUGGAGGACCUUCAAAUACUCUUGCUAGUAUUCCAUCUGC